This 256-nucleotide ribosomal RNA is filed under the name uncultured bacterium. RNAcentral describes it as "partial 16S ribosomal RNA". It matches the Rfam family "Bacterial small subunit ribosomal RNA", at positions 524 to 776 of the family's 1533-position model. The record is from RNAcentral.
UACGAAGGGGGCUAGCGUUGCUCGGAUUGACUGGGCGUAAAGGGCGCGUAGGCGGAAUGCUUUGUCGGGCGUGAAAUUCCAGGGCUCAACCUUGGGGGCUGCGUUCGAGACGGGUAUUCUUGAGUUCGGAAGAGGGUCGUGGAAUUCCCAGUGUAGAGGUGAAAUUCGUAGAUAUUGGGAAGAACACCGGUGGCGAAGGCGGCGACCUGGUCCGAGACUGACGCUGAGGCGCGAAAAGCGUGGGGGAGCAAACAGG